GCCGCCGUGGCGGAAUUGGUAGACGCGCCGGACUUAAAAUCCGUUGACCGCAAGGUCGUCCCGGUUCGAUUCCGGGCGGCGGCA
Molecule: transfer RNA, 84 nt
Filed under: Akkermansiaceae bacterium
Lineage: Bacteria; Pseudomonadati; Verrucomicrobiota; Verrucomicrobiia; Verrucomicrobiales; Akkermansiaceae
Description: tRNA-Leu
Rfam family: tRNA
About the family: Transfer RNA (tRNA) molecules are approximately 80 nucleotides in length. Their secondary structure includes four short double-helical elements and three loops (D, anti-codon, and T loops).
Source: RNAcentral